RNAcentral lists this ribosomal RNA (846 nucleotides) under Triticum aestivum (bread wheat). RNAcentral's name for it is "partial small subunit ribosomal RNA". Lineage: Eukaryota; Viridiplantae; Streptophyta; Magnoliopsida; Poales; Poaceae. The record is from RNAcentral.
AUGGCCGCGUCGGCGUCGGCGGCGGGUGGCCAGCCCCAGAAGCAGUUCCUAUCCAUCAUCCGCGACUUCGCCGCCGAGAAGUCCCACGGCGAGCGCACGGUGUCGGGCCUGAAGCGCCGCCUCGACGACGUGGUCUCGGCUUCCGACGCGGCCACGGCGGAGCUCGAGGCCGCGAAGCGCGCGCGGGAGGCGGCGGAGACGGAGCUGCGCGGGAGCGAGGUGCAGGCCUCCAUCGCAGACGCGUCGAUUCAGGCGCUCGAGGCGACGAUCUCUCAUCUCCAGGAGGAGAUCGCGAAGCUGGGCUCUGAACUGGACGCGCUUAAGAGCACGGAGGACAUCGAGAGAGAGGAGUUCUUGAGACAGAUGCUUGAAAUGAAUGCAAGGAUAAGGCAGUUUCAACAGAAGGCUUCUGCAGAAUUAGCAGAGAGGUGCUCUGGACCGCCAUCAGCAGAUGGUAAGCAAGGCAAGUCAGCAGAGGGUCAAAAUGUGAGUGACAUGAAUGAAACUAUGGACUCAGAAGGUAUGUUGACAGAUUCGGCUGAUCAGAUGAACAAGAUGAAUGCUGAGGUGCAUGUAUUGGAGGAAGAGUAUCAGAAGGACCUGCUUGAACUUGAAAAGCUGCGUCAUGAACUGGCUGAUGUCCGAGCAAAGAGAGCUCUUAUGGAGGCUGUGAUGAAAGAGACGAAAAAGUUGCAGGAGAUCGGAGGGCGCGUGGCUGAACUGGAGAACGUGCACAAUUCACUCGCUGAGGAGCUCCAGAAGCGCUACAUAUGCCCUGGCUGCGGAACCAACAACAUGGCGCCGGAGCAGGAGGAGGCGGCGCCGGCAGCGGCGGUGGCAAACUAA